CAUGUACUGCCAACCCCAAAUUCCUUUUCUUACUGCUCGUCUUAAUUUUCAUGACAGCUUUGCCUCUCCUUCUCUUCCCUGGCGCUUAGGUGACCACAGGCUUCAUAAAGCCUAAAAAACUUCAGACUGAGAGGAAAAGACCCCAGUCAAGAUGGGUGCGGCUGUUGUCAUCAGCACACAGGUGCCUACGGGGACAUCGUGAUGACCCAGUCUCCAGACUCCCUGGCUGUGUCUCUGGGCGAGAGGGCCACCAUCAACUGCAAGUCCAGCCAGAGUGUUUUAUACAGCUCCAACAAUAAGAACUACUUAGCUUGGUACCAGCAGAAACCAGGACAGCCUCCUAAGCUGCUCAUUUACUGGGCAUCUACCCGGGAAUCCGGGGUCCCUGACCGAUUCAGUGGCAGCGGGUCUGGGACAGAUUUCACUCUCACCAUCAGCAGCCUGCAGGCUGAAGAUGUGGCAGUUUAUUACUGUCAGCAAUAUUAUAGUACUCCUC
Molecule: long non-coding RNA, 496 nt
Filed under: Homo sapiens (human)
Lineage: Eukaryota; Metazoa; Chordata; Mammalia; Primates; Hominidae
Description: HSALNT0304182
Source: RNAcentral